Long non-coding RNA from Cynocephalus volans (Philippine flying lemur), 672 nucleotides. RefSeq lists it as uncharacterized. The record is from RefSeq and is a predicted model, not a curated record. The transcript is spliced from 4 exons. NCBI's taxonomy places the organism in Eukaryota, Metazoa, Chordata, Mammalia, Dermoptera, Cynocephalidae.
AUGUAGGCCACGAGAGGAAGAAGGGGAAAGAGCUCAGUGUAAUCUGCAAGGAGGAGGAAGCUACAGGUCUAAAGAAAGGACAUAAGAAAUAAUGCUGUCUGCAGACACGGCCGUUCCAUAAGGACAGGCAGCUUUCCUUGAGGGCUGUUUGUUACACAGGGAAGGCUAUUUGAAAAAGACAUCUCGCCAAAAUGCAAACAAAACCUCCACAAACGCAGCAAAUUAAAGGAGCAAAAUGGAACAACUUUUUUUUUUUUUCUUCAUCUCAAUAUGGCAGCUCAGUGGUUGCUGGUUGAGAUACUAUGGAAUGUUUCUAGUUGAGCUAAACUACAUGCUGGCAAAAUAACAUCGGAGUCAGGAGUGGAGUCUGGCUGGUAGUUAAAAUUCUGGUUCAACUGAUGUCUAAGUUGAAACAAUAUUUUCAUAAGUGGGACAACCCAAGAUAUACUGUUCUCUUCUUGGGAGUGGCCUCAAAUCUGAAUUGGACUUACUAUUCUGGACUUUUGUAUUCUCUAUACCUCUUAUAAUCUAUAACCUAAUUUUGUAACCAAAUGUACAAUUAGUCCUAACAACUUAUUUAAUGAUUCAAUCUAAAGAAAAGAUGAAUACAUAGUCAAAGUCAACAAAGCCAGUAUUAAAAACAAAAAGUACCAAAUAAAGCCCCUGAAAACA